GACGAACGCUGGCGGCGUGCCUAAUACAUGCAAGUUGAGCGCUGAAGGUUGUGACUUGUCCCAACUGGAUGAGCAGCGCACGGGUGAGUAACGUGUGGGGAAUCUGCCUUUGAGCGGGGGACAACAUUUGGAAACGAAUGCUAAUACCGCAUAAAAACUGUAAACACAAGUUUUAAGUUUGAAAGAUGCAAUUGCAUCACUCAAAGAUGAUCCCGCGUUGUAUUAGCUAUUUGGUGAGGUAAAGGCUCACCAAGGCGAGAAUACUUAGCCGACCUGAGAGGAAGACCGCCAAAAUUGGAACGGAAACAGGGCCCAACCUCCAACGGGAGGCGCAGUAGGGAAACUUCGGCAAUGGACGAAAGUCUGACCGAACAACGCCGCGUGAGUGAAGAAGGUUUUCGGAUCGUAAAAGUCUGUUGGUAGAGAAGAACGUUGGUGAGAGUGGAAAGCUCAUCGAGUGACGGUAACUGCACAGAAAGGGACGGCUAACUACGUG
This 496-nucleotide ribosomal RNA is filed under the name uncultured bacterium. Its description in RNAcentral is "partial 16S ribosomal RNA". It matches the Rfam family "Bacterial small subunit ribosomal RNA", at positions 28 to 507 of the family's 1533-position model. The record is from RNAcentral.